AGCGAACGCUGGCGGCAGGCUUAACACAUGCAAGCCGAGCGGGCAUAGCAAUACGUCAGCGGCAGACGGGUGAGUAACGCGUGGGAACGUACCUUUUGGUUCGGAACAACUGAGGGAAACUUCAGCUAAUACCGGAUAAGCCCUUACGGGGAAAGAUUUAUCGCCGAAAGAUCGGCCCGCGUCUGAUUAGCUAGUUGGUGAGGUAAUGGCUCACCAAGGCGACGAUCAGUAGCUGGUCUGAGAGGAUGAUCAGCCACAUUGGGACUGAGACACGGCCCAAACUCCUACGGGAGGCAGCAGUGGGGAAUAUUGGACAAUGGGCGCAAGCCUGAUCCAGCCAUGCCGCGUGAGUGAUGAAGGCCCUAGGGUUGUAAAGCUCUUUUGUGCGGGAAGAUAAAGACGGUACCGCAAGAAUAAGCCCCGGCUAACUUCGUGCCAGCCGCCGCGGUAA
Molecule: ribosomal RNA, 451 nt
Filed under: uncultured bacterium
Lineage: Bacteria
Description: partial 16S ribosomal RNA
Rfam family: Bacterial small subunit ribosomal RNA
Source: RNAcentral